GCUUCCUGCUCAGCCUUCCACCAGUUUUAUGAGACUGAUGAGUGACAGAGCCUUUCAGUGAUGUGGAGAGCAGGCAAGAAAGCACGUGUCCUAAGUUGCGUAGAGAGUUCAAGCAACGUGAUGACAAAAGCAGGAAUCUCACGGACUCUCACAAAGAGGAAAAGAAAGUGACUUAUUAUUUGAGAAGUCCUCACUGCCUGUGGCUAAAAAAAACAGAUCAGCACUACUGGGGAAGAAAAUGCACGACCAGAGACGCUUCUAAGAACCCAAGGUCCUACCAGACCACCAUCGCCCUCAUGCUUCGCUGUGCAUGCUUUUUGCAGAGGACGGCGGAUGCCCUGCGGGAAAUUGCCAUCAGAGCUGGAGUGAUCAUCUCGGAGCCAAACUUUCCAGGUCAUCGCAGAAAGAAUCUCUCGCGUCAGUUAUUUGUCCUUGACAAAAUGGACUAUGAUAUUUCCCAAUGCUUUGAAAAGUUGUGUGUUGACAAAAAUAAACAAAGACUUUUUUUUUUUCUCCUCAUAUAUACAUCUGUCAAUAUUUUACAAUAUUUUGUAAGCAGCCUUGAUACCGGGCACUUUGGGGCAUCUUGAAUAUACAGAAGUUUUCCCAUGCGUACUGUACAUUCAUUAAUCAUUGCACCAGAAUCCCUUUUCUACCAAAUCAGGUUCUUCCUCCUUAAAUCUUCAACAAAGACAUUUUUUUGACAAAGAUGUUUUUUGAAGGAGAGUGAGCAAACCCAAAGUGAAGUCCAGAGAGAGAAGUUCUACUUACACCGAAGUUACGACCACAACCAUUUAUGGAAUGUUCCUGUUUUUUGUUUGGUCUUUUUUUGGGGGGGGGGUGCCCACAGCAUGUGGAAGUUCUGGGGCCAGGGAUCCAACCUGUGCCACAGUAGUGACUCGAGCCACUGCAGUGACGAAGCUAGAUCCUUAACCUGCUGAGCCACCAGGGAACUCCUGAAAUAGUCCUCUCUUAUCCCCCAAAGGCAGAGAGAGGAGAAGGGAAAGAGUGACAGAGAGAGGAAUUCAACCCACAUUCCUGAUUAUCCAGGCCCUCAGGUCUCUGAGGAAGGGUUUUCUGAAUCAGUAAUGAAGCAUCAAUUACGUUAAGUAAAGGGGCAUUAGAGACGUGAGGAAACCAUGAGUCAUUGAAAGGUCUGGGGGAUUACUAGAAGCCUUACAUUUAGCUUACGAUUUAACUGAUCUCCUUUCAUUUGGUCUUCUGGAUCAUAUUUGAUUUAGAGCUUUUUACAGUAUGAACCAUACAUAGUAUUCUUGCCGUUGACAUGCUGCUUAAUUCCCUGAAGUCUUCAUCAAAUUCCGUUUUAAUAUAUCUUUCAUCACUCUAUUAUAGUCUGUCUGGUGAUGUCAGCUUUUCUGAAGAUAAGUCUAUCCUGCUGGUAUUUUUUUUUUAUUCCUUCCACAGAGUUUGAACUCUAUGAUCUGUGCUCUUUUAUUUUGUAAGGUGUAAACUUUUUCCACACCAAAAGUUUUUUUCAUAAAAAAGACCUGACAUCUCUUUACAGAUGUUAAUUAAUUCCCUCACUGGGAAGUAUUCCAUGUAUUUUGCAUCCUUGGGAAACGGGGACAGAGAGCGAAGUGACAUAUUGAAAUCAUGUAAAAACUCGGCGCCAGAGCUCGAAUUAUUACCCAGGAGAUAAAUUCGCACUCUUCGCUUCAGAGAGCAAUUGUAUUCUGAACUUGACACAAAUAAUGAUCAAAAAAUCAAAUCAUCAAGUAGAAGAGACCUGCCUGAGUUCCCGCCACUGACAUGCAAACCUACAGAGAAACUUACUCUUCAAGCAGGGGUAGCCGCUAAGAUGGACAGUGAAACUCGUAUUACCAAGAUUUUAUUACCGUGUGCAUACACACACACAGCAGGAUUUUUAGUAUCCUACUACGAAGUGUUAUUUGAAAUCAUUAAAACUAAACUGCACCUGUCAAAAUAAAUCAACCAAUACGUUUAGUGAUUC
This 1972-nucleotide long non-coding RNA is filed under the name Sus scrofa (pig). Its description in RNAcentral is "lncRNA (ENSSSCG00040017644.1)". The record is from RNAcentral. Lineage: Eukaryota; Metazoa; Chordata; Mammalia; Artiodactyla; Suidae.